AUUGAACGCUGGCGGCAGGCCUAACACAUGCAAGUCGAGCGGUAGAGAGAAGCUUGCUUCUCUUGAGAGCGGCGGACGGGUGAGUAAUGCCUAGGAAUCUGCCUGGUAGUGGGGGAUAACGUUCGGAAACGGACGCUAAUACCGCAUACGUCCUACGGGAGAAAGCAGGGGACCUUCGGGCCUUGCGCUAUCAGAUGAGCCUAGGUCGGAUUAGCUAGUUGGUGGGGUAAUGGCUCACCAAGGCGACGAUCCGUAACUGGUCUGAGAGGAUGAUCAGUCACACUGGAACUGAGACACGGUCCAGACUCCUACGGGAGGCAGCAGUGGGGAAUAUUGGACAAUGGGCGAAAGCCUGAUCCAGCCAUGCCGCGUGUGUGAAGAAGGUCUUCGGAUUGUAAAGCACUUUAAGUUGGGAGGAAGGGCAGUAAAUUAAUACUUUGCUGUUUUGACGUUACCGACAGAAUAAGCACCGGCUAGACUC
RNAcentral lists this ribosomal RNA (481 nucleotides) under Pseudomonas sp. BA2.5. Its description in RNAcentral is "bacterial SSU rRNA". It matches the Rfam family "Bacterial small subunit ribosomal RNA", at positions 30 to 504 of the family's 1533-position model. The record is from RNAcentral. Lineage: Bacteria; Pseudomonadati; Pseudomonadota; Gammaproteobacteria; Pseudomonadales; Pseudomonadaceae.